Molecule: transfer RNA, 69 nt
Filed under: Colletotrichum trifolii
Lineage: Eukaryota; Fungi; Ascomycota; Sordariomycetes; Glomerellales; Glomerellaceae
Also listed under: 2 other names
Rfam family: tRNA
About the family: Transfer RNA (tRNA) molecules are approximately 80 nucleotides in length. Their secondary structure includes four short double-helical elements and three loops (D, anti-codon, and T loops).
Source: Rfam by way of RNAcentral
GAUUAUGAAGUAGAUGGUCUACACUUUGACUGCAAAUCUUAAGUAAGAGGUUCGAAUCCUCCAUAAUCU